Molecule: ribosomal RNA, 420 nt
Filed under: Rhodopseudomonas faecalis
Lineage: Bacteria; Pseudomonadati; Pseudomonadota; Alphaproteobacteria; Hyphomicrobiales; Nitrobacteraceae
Description: bacterial SSU rRNA
Rfam family: Bacterial small subunit ribosomal RNA
Source: RNAcentral
GCACCAAGCAUACAUACGUGCAGUGGGCAGACGGGUGAGUACGCGUGGGAACGUACCUUUUGGUUCGGAACAACUGAGGGAAACUUGAGCUAAUACCGGAUAAGCCCUUACGGGGAAAGAUUUAUCGCCGAAAGAUCGGCCCGCGUCUGAUUAGCUAGUUGGUGGGGUAAUGGCCCACCAAGGCGACGAUCAGUAGCUGGUCUGAGAGGAUGAUCAGCCACAUUGGGACUGAGACACGGCCCAAACUCCUACGGGAGGCAGCAGUGGGGAAUAUUGGACAAUGGGCGAAAGCCUGAUCCAGCCAUGCCGCGUGAGUGAUGAAGGCCCUAGGGUUGUAAAGCUCUUUUGUGCGGGAAGAUAAUGACGGUACCACAAGAAUAAGCCCCGGCUAACUUCUUGCCAGCAGCCGCGGUAAUACGA